GAUGAACGCUGGCGGCGUGCCUAACACAUGCAAGUCGAGCGGGAUCUUGCUAAAUGACGCAUCGGUUGAUUUUAGUAAGUGAGAGCGGCGGACGGGUGAGUAACGCGUAGGCAACCUGCCCUUUGCAGAGGGACAACAGUUGGAAACGACUGCUAAUACCGCAUAACACUUUAGUACCGCAUGGUACAGAAGUCAAAGCUUUAUGUGCUGAGAGAUGGUCUCGCGUCUGAUUAGCUAGAUGGCGGGGUAACGGCCCACCAUGGCGACGAUCGGUAGCCGGACUGAGAGGUUGAACGGCCACAUUGGGACUGAGAUACGGCCCAGACUCCUACGGGAGGCAGCAGUGGGGAAUAUUGGGCAAUGGGGGAAACCCUGACCCAGCAACGCCGCGUGAAGGAAGAAGGCCUUCGGGUUGUAAACUUCUUUUAGUAGGGACGAAGAACGUGACGGUACCUACAGAAAAAGCAACGGCUAACUACGUG
This 482-nucleotide ribosomal RNA is filed under the name uncultured bacterium. RNAcentral's name for it is "bacterial SSU rRNA". It matches the Rfam family "Bacterial small subunit ribosomal RNA", at positions 28 to 507 of the family's 1533-position model. The record is from RNAcentral.